Molecule: long non-coding RNA, 1243 nt
Organism: Lucilia sericata (common green bottle fly)
Lineage: Eukaryota; Metazoa; Arthropoda; Insecta; Diptera; Calliphoridae
Exons: 2
Source: RefSeq, a predicted model, not a curated record
GGAAAUUUGUAUUUUAGUGAAUGAAAUUCACUUAAAAUUUCAAAGGAAAUUAUUUUAAAAGAAUUUGUAAAUAGGAAAAUAUAAUUUAAAAAAAAAAUAAUAAUAAAUAAAAGAAAUUUAAGCUUAAACCGGUUGCGGUAUAAAAGUUAAUUCCGAAUUUUAAAAACUAACGUGUCUGAUUACAAACAAAAAAAAAAAAGAGUCAUAUUUUAGCAUCCUGGUCUGUUGGAGGUUUUGUUAAACUGUGGAUUAUAUAAAACAGUUCAAAACCAGGACACUAAAAAUAACUAAUAACUAACUAUAGAUGUUUUAUUUGCAUCAAUAUCAGCCACAAAGAGGAUUACUUUUAAAGCUUUAAAACUACCACAGAAAAAGGAAUAAUAUUAACUCCCAUCAAAACCACAACAGAAUAAAGUAAAAACUUUUCCAAAUCGAAAAAAUCGGGCGCGUCUCAUAACGAUCGAUCUCUUAAAAAAGUGUUGAAAUUACGGUCGGUAUGCAGAACAAACAAGUAAUAUUUUUAAAAAUGUCGCCUUACAAAUGCUCGAAGUAAUAAAACAGUUAUAAAUUUUAAAAAAAUCAAGUGUUUUAAAUAAAAAAGUAAGUAUUUAAAAAAAAUUGAGUUUUUAACAAAUAAUCUAAGAAAAAAACCGAAAAAGUAGUGUUUUCUAAAUGUGGACAGUGGAAAAAACCAAAGACCCAGAAAUUAACAACCAAACGUGUUAAGUGCUAAACAACAAUUAAAUCAAACACUUAAAAAAAAUAAAAGAAAGAAAAAAACAAGAAAAAAUUUGAAAUAUUCUUGCUUUGCAAACGAAAAAACGUCCAACAACGACCAACAACACAGCACGAAUAAAGAAUCAAAAAAAAUGGCACAAUCAAGAAAACAAACAAUUCAUGUGAAACCCAUAUUCAGAUACAAAAUACACACGCAAACACAAACACACACACAGAUACUUAAAUAUGUAUCUAGCAAAGCUACAACAAAUACCACUUUAACGCUUUGUAGUUUUACCAAGAGUUAAACUACAACAGAAAAGCCACACAAAUUCAUUUAUGAACAUAUUCAGACAAACAUGAGUGUAAAAAUUGUAUGUAAAAUGGCAAAAUAAAGGUGUAUACAACAUGGUUGGUGGUGGUGGUGUUGUCGAUGAUGAAUAAAGCAAAAGCUACAAAAAUAUAAAAUAUUUUAUUAGUAUUAUACAAAGAAAAUUGUGUACAAGAAAAAAAAACCCUACCAAAG